This 1550-nucleotide ribosomal RNA is filed under the name Klebsiella pneumoniae. Its description in RNAcentral is "bacterial SSU rRNA". It matches the Rfam family "Bacterial small subunit ribosomal RNA". The record is from RNAcentral. RNAcentral also lists the same sequence under 1 other name. Lineage: Bacteria; Pseudomonadati; Pseudomonadota; Gammaproteobacteria; Enterobacterales; Enterobacteriaceae.
AAAUUGAAGAGUUUGAUCAUGGCUCAGAUUGAACGCUGGCGGCAGGCCUAACACAUGCAAGUCGAGCGGUAGCACAGAGAGCUUGCUCUCGGGUGACGAGCGGCGGACGGGUGAGUAAUGUCUGGGAAACUGCCUGAUGGAGGGGGAUAACUACUGGAAACGGUAGCUAAUACCGCAUAACGUCGCAAGACCAAAGUGGGGGACCUUCGGGCCUCAUGCCAUCAGAUGUGCCCAGAUGGGAUUAGCUAGUAGGUGGGGUAACGGCUCACCUAGGCGACGAUCCCUAGCUGGUCUGAGAGGAUGACCAGCCACACUGGAACUGAGACACGGUCCAGACUCCUACGGGAGGCAGCAGUGGGGAAUAUUGCACAAUGGGCGCAAGCCUGAUGCAGCCAUGCCGCGUGUGUGAAGAAGGCCUUCGGGUUGUAAAGCACUUUCAGCGGGGAGGAAGGCGAUAAGGUUAAUAACCUUGUCGAUUGACGUUACCCGCAGAAGAAGCACCGGCUAACUCCGUGCCAGCAGCCGCGGUAAUACGGAGGGUGCAAGCGUUAAUCGGAAUUACUGGGCGUAAAGCGCACGCAGGCGGUCUGUCAAGUCGGAUGUGAAAUCCCCGGGCUCAACCUGGGAACUGCAUUCGAAACUGGCAGGCUAGAGUCUUGUAGAGGGGGGUAGAAUUCCAGGUGUAGCGGUGAAAUGCGUAGAGAUCUGGAGGAAUACCGGUGGCGAAGGCGGCCCCCUGGACAAAGACUGACGCUCAGGUGCGAAAGCGUGGGGAGCAAACAGGAUUAGAUACCCUGGUAGUCCACGCCGUAAACGAUGUCGAUUUGGAGGUUGUGCCCUUGAGGCGUGGCUUCCGGAGCUAACGCGUUAAAUCGACCGCCUGGGGAGUACGGCCGCAAGGUUAAAACUCAAAUGAAUUGACGGGGGCCCGCACAAGCGGUGGAGCAUGUGGUUUAAUUCGAUGCAACGCGAAGAACCUUACCUGGUCUUGACAUCCACAGAACUUAGCAGAGAUGCUUUGGUGCCUUCGGGAACUGUGAGACAGGUGCUGCAUGGCUGUCGUCAGCUCGUGUUGUGAAAUGUUGGGUUAAGUCCCGCAACGAGCGCAACCCUUAUCCUUUGUUGCCAGCGGUCCGGCCGGGAACUCAAAGGAGACUGCCAGUGAUAAACUGGAGGAAGGUGGGGAUGACGUCAAGUCAUCAUGGCCCUUACGACCAGGGCUACACACGUGCUACAAUGGCAUAUACAAAGAGAAGCGACCUCGCGAGAGCAAGCGGACCUCAUAAAGUAUGUCGUAGUCCGGAUUGGAGUCUGCAACUCGACUCCAUGAAGUCGGAAUCGCUAGUAAUCGUAGAUCAGAAUGCUACGGUGAAUACGUUCCCGGGCCUUGUACACACCGCCCGUCACACCAUGGGAGUGGGUUGCAAAAGAAGUAGGUAGCUUAACCUUCGGGAGGGCGCUUACCACUUUGUGAUUCAUGACUGGGGUGAAGUCGUAACAAGGUAACCGUAGGGGAACCUGCGGUUGGAUCACCUCCUUACCUUAAAGAA